Molecule: long non-coding RNA, 15195 nt
Filed under: Mytilus galloprovincialis (Mediterranean mussel)
Lineage: Eukaryota; Metazoa; Mollusca; Bivalvia; Mytilida; Mytilidae
Source: RNAcentral
CCUUGAACUUUAAGAUGCAGAGCUUAAAAUUCGAAUGAAAACUUGACAGUACGGCGGUAGCCUGUUGUUGAAAUGAUUUCAAUAUAUAUGGUCUUAUAUGGUAAACAUUUAGUUAAAACAAGUUUGAGAGUAUAAUUUACGUUUAAAGAGGACUAGUUUUUUGGUUUUUGUUCUUUUUUUUUGGGGGGGGGGGGUCAUUAAGUGUGAAGUGGGUGGUAAGGGUGGUGGUUCUUGCACUGAAUAAGCAUGAAAUAAGACGUUAUUUCACGUUAAAAGUUUUCUGUCAUCAUGUCAUGAACGUUGCACGAAAAAAAAAAUACUUUGGGUGUGAACCGUUUUCUGACUGAGUCGCUGCUUCUUGUAUAAUUAUAUAUAUUAACUUUACGUUUGACUUGAUAUUCCCGAUUUAGUAUACACAUUUAUGAUAUAAUUGGUUUACAGCUUUUAAAAAAGUAUUUCUUGACAAUCCCUGCCAAUUUAAGCGUUUGAAUUUUACAGGAGAUUUAAUUAUGCAAAAUUUAUAAGCAUUUGAAAAUCUUGUAAGACAGAACGUCAAAUAAAAAAGUUAAAUCAAUAGAAACUAAAAUAAAAACACGACAAUCACUUCGCACAAAAAUAACCAUUUACCAUCCUCUGUCUCAGAAAGGUAUAGAUAAGCGACCUAGCUACCAAUUGGUUUUAUGGGGGUCUAGGAUGAAAAAUUUUGUCCUGCAUUCUAUUAGUUGUUAUGUAUUUUUCACUCUAUUCGGUCCUGCCUUUUUUGUAUGAAAAUUGAGAAUGGAAAUGGGGAAUAUGUAAAAAAGACAGCAACCCGGCUACCAGAAGAGCAGAAACCAACAGAAGGCAACUAAUGGGUCUUCAACAUAACGAAAAACGAACAAAACUUCAUAUUGUAUAUAUAUGCUCCAGAUCAUAUGCAUGAGUAUUUGGAUGGUACACCUAUAUUCGUGUGGUCGGACCAUAUGUGUAUGGUCACACCAAUAUUUAUGAGUGUACUCGUACAGUCUAGUUAGCCUGAGUUAGGAAUAACUGGCCCCUUUAUGUAUUUGGACCAUAGGUAUUAAUUUUAGACAAACAUUUAUCCAGAAAAGCGCUUUGGACGCAAUAAAUUAUUAAACGUGUUGUUUUCAAUUUUUUACAUCACUGCAUGGGUCGAUACCUCUGCUGGUGGACUAUCAGUCCCCGAGGGUAUCAUCAGCUCAGAAGUCAGUAUUUCGGAACUGACAUGAUUUAAUAAACUUUACUAAAAUUGUCGGUCUACAAAUUUUGAAAUUAUUAAGAAACUUAGGUUUUAACUCCCUCAGGCAAAGUUGGCUUAAGACAUGUAUGUUAGAUGAAUUUGGCUAUAAAUUUUAGGUAUUUUUGACAUAUAUAGCUCUUCAAUGGUUUUGUUACUUAUACAUCUUCGGAGUUCAAAUCAGAGGCGGAUUUAGGGGGGGGGCAGGGGGCCCGCCCCCCCUUUUGGGAAAAAAUUUGGUUGCUUAUAUAGGGAAUCAAUGAAGCGUGACUGGAGCGGGCCCCUCUUAGGUCAGUCAGUGGGCCCCCACUUAUGAAAAUUUCUGGAUCCGCCACUGCAAAUGUUUGGCUUUGAGUGUUCCUGAUGAAGGUAAAUCCAGAAAAGUGCUUUGGACGCAAUAAAUUAUUAAAGGUGUUAAUUGUUUUCAAUUUUUUUUUUUUUUUUUAUCAAAAUCUGUUAUUGAAUAUAUAAACACACAAAUUAAUAUUAUGACAAUUAGAUGAAUAAAGUGAAAUAUAUCAUCAUAUCACCAACCCUAAUAUUUAAUAUUUGAGUAACAAAGCUACCUUUAUUUAUUCUUGCACUAGUUUUUGAUGCAUUUUAUUAUAUUUUCUCUAUGUGUUUUCAAGGGAUUUUGUAUAGUUUUUGACCAGUAUCUGUGACGUUUUUGAAAAGUUCCUACAUCUUCUAAAAUAUUUUCUUCCAACUUUAUGUUUAUUCUGAUAACUACAAUUUCAGCCAGCAUAAUUUAUAAAUCUCCUGUAUAUACUGACAUGCUAAAUGCACAGGAGGUUAACAGAAUAAAGCUGUGAUUUAUAAUGAUACAUGCACUGUUCCACAACAUUUUAGGGUCAGACAAAUUUAAUGCUUGAUUGGGAGCAAUUAUUUGUGGUCACUUAAACUGAAGAAAUUUAUUGGCUUUAAUUGAUUGACCGUGUGCAGCUGGUAAGCACAUAAUCAGCUGAUUUACUAAAACAACAUUGAUUACCUUGAAUAUUAUUAUGGAUAGAGAUAAAUUUUAAACAGCAAUAAGGUUCAGCAAAGUAAGAUCUACAAUUAGGUCAACAUGACCAGAGUUAUAGUCUAUUUAAAUAUUUUUUUGGUAAAUUUUUGUAAUCUGAAACUACUGGUCCAAAUACAUGAAAUACAAUACAAUACAAUAUACAAUAUGGAAUCAAAGGAGUAGGGGCAAUGAAGGUCAUUUUUUUUUCGAUCAAAUUUUGCCUAUUAUCUUGAAAACUAAAAUAGAUAGAGAGAAAUUUUAAAAAAUGCAAAAAUGAUCAGAAAAAAAACUCUUUCGUGUUUGGAUCAAGAGCUAAAUAAGAUCAUGAAGAUAGAGAGAAACUAAACAGACUUCAUCGAUCAGCAAUAUAUUUAUGAUACAAUUUUUUUUAUUAAAGAUCUAUUAAAAAACAUACAAAUAUGUAAGAUCAUUUAAAUCAUCUGGAGAAGGUAUGCACAUGUAUAUAUACAACUCCUCUCAAUUUAACCCAACACUGUAUCGGUUAUAAAAAAGUUAAAGGAUAAAAUCGUGCAUUCUUGAUAUCAAUAAAUCGAAUGUUUAAUGUUGACAAAUCGUUAUAUUUGAUCUGUCAACCUAAAAAUAUUUAGGUAUACUAAGCAGGAAAAGGAAAAGAGAAAUAAAAUGAUAUUAGAAAAUUUGCAAAAUUGAUAUUAACAUGAGUGAAAGUUGUAUAAAUAAACGUACAACUAUCCUAAGACCAUCAUAAGACACCUCUCGUGUAGUCCUAACUUUAUGACCAAUAUAAAGAGAUGUCCCAAUUUAGGACCCCUUUGUGAAACCCACAUAGGACUAAGAUAUGUCGUAAGACCAUCCUAAGACAUGUCUUAGUCCUAAGACAGCUUCGUGAAACUGGCCCCUGCACUUUAUCAUGUUUAUCGGACGCGUUAGACCACUUGACCACCUGGGCUUUACAAAAAUAAAGCUUUCCGAUGGCGGGGUCCCUGUGUUUCCUUUCCUCCUCAGUUUUUAUUUAACGUUGUAAUACAGUACAUGAUAUAUAAGGCAUGAACAUGGGAUAUAUAUUUGUAUUAUCUGUUAGUCAAAUGGGUUUUGUUAAAACAUACUUUUUCACUUUUUGGGUCUUUUGGAAAAUGUUGUUUGUGCUUCUACAACGAAAUUUGUUUUACAUGCACACAUAUAAAAAUUGCAGUUUUUAUCCAACGCAAUCAUAGGUUUGAACGUAGUUUUCAAUUUAGAUUUGUAUAUACAUGUCCAUGUAUAUAUAUAUAUAUAUAUAUAUAUAUAUGUCAAAAUAUUCACUUCAAACUAUCCUGAACCAUGCAGUUAUUUCAAGACAGCAUUACAUUUCUAUAUAAUAUAUAGUCAUAAUAUGCAUUAAUUAGGGAAUGAUGAAUUACUGUUAAACUUCAAACCCACUGUUGUUGAACUUUAAAAGAGAAUUGUUGACAUUAUCUUUGUAUAUUAUAUUACUGUAACUAAACUUCAAACUGAAAUUAAUUAACUUGCCAUUUUCUUCUUUGAACUGUUUUCCUCCACUGCAUGGUUCUUCACAAAAUCACCACAAAAACAAUAUAAUUGUAAUAAAUUGAAGAGUUAUAAGAGUAGCACAACUGUGUGUGAUUUUCAACAUAAAUUUAUUUUGCUCUACACAUUUUAUGAUGUCCAAGUAAUGAGGUCAUGACAUCAAUAUAAAUCCAUAUAGUAACCAAUGAGAUAAAAGAGAAAUUUAUUUAAUGUCUUCCUAAAAUCUUUGGAUAAAAACAGGUCACAUUUACUUGUACAUAUUGUGUGUAUGCUGUACUUAAAUAUAAAAACACAAGUGAAUGUUAUACAUAUAUAUACUCUCACCACAUUCAAUGUCAUCGAUUCAAUGGACUUAAUUAAGUAUAAUGGGAAUAGGUCUAUUAGUGUAAAUAAAAGUGAAAUAAUUAGAAGGAUUAGAAUACACAUGCAGUAUAUGUUCCAAUGACAUACAGGGAUAGAAUUUUGAGAAAAAUUUAUUGUAAGUAAUAAUUUCAUACUUAAUGCCAAUAAUUGUUUAUUUCUAUGUUUUGUGUAUGGUCUCCUUAAAGUUUUAUUAUGAGGAGGAUUAAGAGGGUGGGGCUAAUGGGUAAUGGCCCCCCCUUUUAAAAAAAAAUUUUGUUUGAUUAAUUUAUCUCGAGAUCAAAUCACUGAAGCAUGAUUUAAGCGGGUCCCUUUUAAAAAAUUCUGGAUCUGCCACUGCAUACCACAGACAUAUACAGAAAUUAAGGAUGUUUUAUAAUUUUAAAAAAUUCUAAUAUAUCUAUCAAUUAAAAAAAUAUUUAUAUUGAUAUAUAUGCAUGCAUGCAUUAGUGAUAAAUUUAAUAAUCUGUCACCUAAGGAUAUUUGCCUAUAGAUGUUUUAUGUCUCACUGUUGGGCUUCUAAGUCAGUAUCAAAUUAGAGUUUUGCCCCAAAUUUCAUGGUCCACUGAACAUAAUUAUAAAAAUGAUAGUGCUAGCUAUAGUGUGUCAUCUGUUUACUAUGGAAACAUUAUUGUUAUUGAUUUAGGGUGGUACCUAACACUACAGGGAGAUAACUCUGUAAAGUCAGCUAUUGGACUUAGCAUUUUUUACCUGGGAGGGGGGGGGCUGGUCAUUUUGAAAUUAAACAUACAAAAUUUCUUGAUCCCCCCCUAUUAUAUUUCACUUUUUUUGUUUGAUCCCCCCAGUAAAAACAUUUUUAAAAAAAUGAUCCCCCCCUAAUCAAACAUGCCAAAAUUUUAACAUGCAAAACACUUAUCAUAUUAUUUCAUGAAAAUAUUGAAAAUAAUAUAUUCUCAGUGGAUUGAAUCAAAAACAUAUUUGAGGGAAAAUUGUCUUGAAAUAGGGCACUUUCAUGAGGUCUUUUCAAUGAAUAUAAGCAUGAUAGGUAGCGCAAGCCAGUGCUUUGAGUAAUUUUUUUCUGACUUUUUUUUUCUAAUUUCCUGUAUUGUGCUAUUAAAGAAAACCUGAUCCUAAGUAACUCUAAAAGAUAACUUUUUAAAACAGUAACAACACAUUAUUUACUAAAUGGAAUCUAUUAUAUGGCCUUCUCUUGAACUCUGCUUAAACUUAAGUUUGAUGUAAGGCCUUAUUGAGUUGCUAAACUUUUAUAUGGAGAUUAUAAGUUACUCAUUUAUUGUCACAUUUCAUUCAUAUAUGUGUGAUAGUACAUGUAACAUUUUGAUUUAUUAGCCUAAAAGUACAGAUUUUGCGGGAGUAAGAGGUAUAAAUAAAUUAAUGGACCCAAAGAGAUCUUGUAAUGAAAUCAAAAAGUUACAUUAGUGGUGUUCAUCAUCUUAAAAUCAUUUUGCAAUCAUACAACUGUUUGUAUGCAGAUUCUAAGAUGAAUAUUUAAUCAUUUAUUGGAGAAUUAAUUACUCUACACAUUAUUCUUUCAUGAUGCGGCAUACUUUGUGUUUUGGGACAAAAUUUUGCACAAAUCGCUGUAGAUUUCUACUUAAUUUAUACUUAAUUUCUCUCAAACUAUUAAGCUGAUUAAAACAAAAUUUGGCAGUUAUGCUUGUUAAUUUAGUGAUCAAAGUGAGUGAAAUACAUGUAAAACGACUGAAUUAUUUGGAUUAUGAAGCACCUACAUCACCAAAUUCUUGUGGUGUCUUAAUUAACUGUAUAUGAAUGGUGUUAAAAAUAUAUUUCUAUUUGACUGUUGCAAUGUUCUUCUUGACAUGUUCAUGAUGUUGUUUCUUGAAGUAUGUGAAAUACUUAUUUCCAUGUGUAAGAAAUAUUGAUCCCCCAACUUUGAAUAACUAAACAGACUUCACUGAUCAGCAAUAUAUUUAUGAUACAAUUUUUUUUAUUAAAGUCCUAUUAAAAAAACAUACAAACAUGUAAGAUCAUUUAAAUCAUCUGGAGAAGGUAUGCACAUGUAUAUAUACAACUCCUCUAAAUUUAACCCAACACUGUAUCGGUUAUAAAAAAGUUAAAGGAUAAAAUCGUGCAUUCUUGAUAUCAAUAAAUCGAAUGUUCAAUGUUGACAAAUCGUUAUAUUUGAUCUGUCAACCUAUAAAUAUUUAGGUAUACUAAGCAGGAAAAGGAAAAGAGAAAUAAAAUAAUAUUAGAAAAUUUGCAAAAUUGAUAUUAAAAUGAGUGAAAGUUGUAUAAAUAAACGUACAACUAUCCUAAGACCAUCAUAAGACACCUCUCGUGUAGUCCUAACUUUAUGACCAAUAUAAAGAGAUGUCCCAAUUUAGGACCGCUUUGUGAAACCCACAUAGGACUAAGAUAUGUCGUAAGACCAUCCUAAGACAUGUCUUAGUCCUAAGACAGCUUCGUGAAACUGGCCCCUGCACUUUAUCAUGUUUAUCGGACGCGUUAGACCACUUGACCACCUGGGCUUUACAAAAAUAAAGCUUUCCGAUGGCCGGGUCCCUGUGUUUCCUUUCCUCCUCAGUUUUUAUUUAACGUUGUAAUACAGUACAUGAUAUAUAAGGCAUGAACAUGGGAUAUAUAUUUGUAUGAUCUGUUAGUCAAAUGGGUUUUGUUAAAAUAUACUUUUUCACUUUUUUGGGUCUUUUGGAAAAUGUUGUUUGUGCUUCUACAACGAAAUUUGUUUUACAUGCACACAUAUAAAAAUUGCAGUUUUUUAUCCAACGCAAUCAUAGGUUUGAACGUAGUUUUCAAUUUAGAUUUGUAUAUACAUGUCCAUGUAUAUAUAUAUAUAUAUAUAUAUAUAUAUGUCAAAAUAUUCACUUCAAACUAUCCUGAACCAUGCAGUUAUUUCAAGACAGCAUUACAUUUCUAUAUAAUAUAUAGUCAUAAUAUGCAUUAAUUAGGGAAUGAUGAAUUACUGUUAAACUUCAAACCCACUGUUGUUGAACUUUUAAAAGAGAAUUGUUGACAUUAUCUUUGUAUAUUAUAUUACUGUAACUAAACUUCAAACUGAAAUUAAUUAACUUGCCAUUUUCUUCUUUUGAACUGUUUUCCUCCACUGCAUGGUUCUUCACAAAAUCACCACAAAAAAACAAUAUAUUGUAAUAAAUUGAAGAGUUAUAAGAGUAGCACAACUGUGUGUGAUUUUCAACAUAAAUUUAUUUUGCUCUACACAUUUUAUGAUGUCCAAGUAAUGAGGUCAUGACAUCAAUAUAAAUCCAUAUAGUAACCAAUGAGAUAAAAGAGAAAUUUAUUUAAUGUCUUCCUAAAAUCUUUGGAUAAAAACAGGUCACAUUUACUUGUACAUAUUGUGUGUAUGCUGUACUUAAAUAUAAAAAACACAAGUGAAAUGUUAUACAUAUAUAUAUACUCUCACCACAUUCAAUGUCAUCGAUUCAAUGGACUUAAUUAAGUAUAAUGGGAAUAGGUCUAUUAGUGUAAAUAAAAGUGAAAUAAUUAGAAGGAUUAGAAUACACAUGCAGUAUAUGUUCCAAUGACAUACAGGGAUAGAAUUUUGAGAAAAAUUUAUUGUAAGUAAUAAUUUCAUACUUAAUGCCAAUAAUUGUUUAUUUCUAUGUUUUGUGUAUGGUCUCCUUAAAGUUUUAUUAUGAGGAGGAUUAAGAGGGUGGGGCUAAUGGGUAAUGGCCCCCCCCUUUUAAAAAAAAAAUUGUUUGAUUAAUUUAUCUCGAGAUCAAAUCACUGAAGCAUGAUUUAAGCGGGUCCUUUUUAAAAAAUUCUGGAUCUGCCACUGCAUACCACAGACAUAUACAGAAAUUAAGGAUGUUUUAUAAUUUUAAAAAAAUUCUAAUAUAUCUAUCAAUUAAAAAAAUAUUUAUAUUGAUAUAUAUGCAUGCAUGCAUUAGUGAUAAAUUUAAUAAUCUGUCACCUAAGGAUAUUUGCCUAUAGAUGUUUUAUGUCUCACUGUUGGGCUUCUAAGUCAGUAUCAAAUUAGAGUUUUGCCCCAAAUUUCAUGGUCCACUGAACAUAAUUAUAAAAAUGAUAGUGCUAGCUAUAGUGGGUCAUCUGUUUACUAUGGAAACAUUAUUGUUAUUGAUUUAAGGUGGUACCUAACACUACAGGGAGAUAACUCUGUAAAGUCAGCUAUUGGACUUAUCAUUUUUUACCUGGGAGGGGGUUAUAUUUCACUUUUUUUGUUUGAUCCCCCCAGUAAAAACAUUUUUAAAAAAAAUGAUCCCCCCCUAAUCAAACAUGCCAAAAUUUUAACAUGCAAAACACUUAUCAUAUUAUUUCAUGAAAAUAUUGAAAAUAAUAUAUUCUCAGUGGAUUGAAUCAAAAACAUAUUUGAGGGAAAAUUGUCUUGAAAUAGGGCACUUUCAUGAGGUCUUUUCAAUGAAUAUAAGCAUGAUAGGUAGCGCAAGCCAGUGCUUUGAGUAAUUUUUUUCUGACUUUUUUUUUUCUAAUUUCCUGUAUUGUGCUAUUAAAGAAAACCUGAUCCUAAGUAACUCUAAAAGAUAACUUUUUAAAAACAGUAACAACACAUUAUUUACUAAAUGGAAUCUAUUAUAUGGCCUUCUCUUGAACUCUGCUUAAACUUAAGUUUGAUGUAAGGCCUUAUUGAGUUGCUAAACUUUUAUAUGGAGAUUAUAAGUUACUCAUUUAUUGUCACAUUUCAUUCAUAUAUGUGUGAUAGUACAUGUAACAUUUUUGAUUUAUUAGCCUAAAAGUACAGAUUUUUGCGGGAGUAAGAGGUAUAAAUAAAUUAAUGGACCCAAAGAGAUCUUGUAAUGAAAUCAAAAAGUUACAUUAGUGGUGUUCAUCAUCUUAAAAUCAUUUUGCAAUUCAUACAACUGUUUGUAUGCAGAUUCUAAGAUGAAUAUUUAAUCAUUUAUUGGAGAAUUAAUUACUCUACACAUUAUUCUUUCAUGAUGCGGCAUACUUUGUGUUUUGGGACAAAAUUUUGCACAAAUCGCUGUAGAUUUCUACUUAAUUUAUACUUAAUUUCUCUCAAACUAUUAAGCUGAUUAAAACAAAAUUUGGCAGUUAUGCUUGUUAAUUUAGUGAUCAAAGUGAGUGAAAUACAUGUAUAACGACUGAAUUAUUUGGAUUAUGAAGCACCUACAUCACCAAAUUCUUGUGGUGUCUUAAUUAACUGUAUAUGAAUGGUGUUAAAAAUAUAUAUUUCUAUUUGACUGUUGCAAUGUUCUUCUUGACAUGUUCAUGAUGUUGUUUCUUGAAGUAUGUGAAAUACUUAUUUCCAUGUGUAAGAAAUAUUGAUCCCCCAACUUUGAAUUUAUAAAAAAAAUUGAACCCCCCUUUUCCACACACAGAAAAAAACUUGAUCCCUCCUGUAUUUUGACCACCCCACCCUCCCAGAUAAAUAAUGAUAAGUCCCUUUAAAAAAGUGUUAUAAUUACGUUGUGUUGUCAAAAGAAUACUAAGCUUCUUAAUGAUCCAAAUAAGUGUUAAAUGUCAAACUGCUAUAUAACCAGUGUAAUUUUUCUGGCAAAACGGUUGGUUCAAAAUUUUUGAAUUUUUUAUAUUUUUGUAAAAUACUUUGACCAAAUUUUAUGAAAAUUAAACGAGCUAAAUAAUUUUUAGUAAAAGUGUUGGGUACCACCUUAAAUGAUCUUAAAUGCAAAGUAUUAAGAAUUAAGUUUCUGAAUUUCACGAGUUGAUAAUUGCCUACAAUUUAAAAUUCAAGAAUUUUGCAUACAAGUAUGCCACUUGAAAGUAUAUUGUAUUUGACCUGGAUGAGAGUUUAGAUGAGGUUUACAAAAUAGAGAAUAACAGGCAAAAUGUACAGAAUAAAGGAAAAAAAAGUAAUAAAUAGGGAAAAGAAGGAAAACUAAAACUAAAUAAAUAUUAGAGAAUAAGUGCUGAAAUGAAAUUUAUGUAAAGAAUAGAGAUUAAAAAAAAAACAAUCUAAUAUACAUGUAUUAAAGAAUAAAGAUACAUGUAAAAAUUGUAUACAUAACAGACAGUCACAAUUUGAACAGAAUGUUGACUUUAACAGUGCUUAUUUGGUUUCAAGGGGAUUCAUCUGAACCCCCCUGGCUACGGGUAUGCAUAACCCCUAUCUAGACCUUAAUAAAUCAAGCCAUAUUAACACAUAAAUGACAAAUACUCUGAUAAUUGUGUUUAGGUCAGACAGGAAUUUGUCUGCAAAAGACUCAUAAGUAACUUGAUUGAUCUCCAAUAAAAAAAAAAUUAAAGGCCAAAUGAUUUACAAAAUUAAAAACUUUGUCUUUGAUAAUCAAGAGAAAAACUGAGACAGACUGAGAAAGACAUGAUUCAUACAUAAAAUACAAACCUUAGAACCUCAAAUUAAAAAAUUAGAAACAGUCAGGGGCAUUACUUAAACAAGUAAUAUUUUUAAGUUAUUACUAUAUAUUUAAGUAAUUUUUGUUUUUGAAAAAUAAUAAAAUUACUUAAUAGAGUUAUUUUAAAUUCUAAUAGAAGCAUAGAUUAAAUGUAGUUUGAAGAAGUUAUUGUAUCAUUUUCUAUCAAAAAAAAAAAGAAUUUAUAAGAUUUUAGAAGGAGUAUGGAGAUAAAGGUUUAAAUUAAAAAUAAUGACAAAUUACUUGAAUACGGUAAGUUGUUAUAUACAUUUUUGAAAAAAAUAUAGUAAUAACACUUAUUUAAGGAACACAUCAUGUAGUUGAUUUGGGUUAUAGCAGUUAAAAAGAACUUGAAAUCUUAAUUAAUUCACAAGUAUGUAUCUAUUUAUAUCAGUCAUUAUGUCAGUCUAUCUUCAAGAUUUUGGAGGAAAAUGAUAAUUUAAUAGUCCCAAGAGACCAACUUUGACCCAGAAGCAUCCAUGGGUAUGAAAGAUAAGUGAUAAGUGCGUCAGUAUGUUAAUUAGUGUUUCAGAAGGAUUAUAUUUCAUGGGGAAAAAUAACCAGAUGACUGUGAAAAUUUGUUAAAGCUAGUAAAAUCUGCAUUAUUGGACAUCUAUAAAAAGAAUAUUUAGAAAAGUUACAUAUAUAAGUAAUAUUUAAAAUAGCCUCGUUUUCAACAUAACUUGUAUAGGUAAUUUGAAUUGUUGCUUGUUUAAGUGAUGCCCCUGACUGAUAAAUGAAACUGGUUAAUGUUAUAAUAGAGCAAAAAAGUUAGAUUGUGUGUACAGUACAUUAUUAGACUUGCUACAUGUUCCUUCCUAAUUAUUUUUUUUUUCACUUUUGCCCCUUUAACAUUUCACUGCUAUAACUAGGAGAUUACCAUUAUACUGACAUCUGCAGGGGCAAUCUGUAGACAGGCAGUUAUCAGCAAACAUAUAAAUUAGUGAAAAAAAAAAAAGAUAGGGAAUUGUAGCAAGUCUAAGUACAUUAUAUAAACACUGUUUUAGAGAUGAAUUUUAUUUCAUUUAUUUUCAAAGAAUUAAUACAGACCCAUUGCAUGGUGGCUUUUGGCUUUUGUCUGCUCUAUGUUCGGGUUGUUGUCGCUUUGACACAUUCCCCAUUUCCUUUCACAAUUUUAUCAUUAUAGAAAGAGGACAAUAAUAUAGUACAUAAAAUUAAGAAUUGAAGUGGGAAAUGUAUCAAAGACACAACAACCGGACCAUAGAACAAACAACAGCAGAAGGUCACCAACAGGUCUUCAAUGCAGCGAGAAAUUCCCACACCCAGAGGUGUCCUUCAGCUGGCUCCUAAACAAUAUAUAUAUACUAGUUUAGUGACAAUUAAUGAACACCAUAUUAAACUCCAAAUUGUACACAAGAAACAUUAAAAAUAAUACAAGACUACAUGCAACAAAGACCAGAGGCUCCUGACUUGGGACUUGGGGACUCUUGUAUGCAUACAUAUAUUUUGUCAAUCAACCAUUAUAGAAUCCUGGCACUUACAUUAACAGAGUGCUUCAAUAUAUAUGUAAUACCCAACUUAUGAUUUUUUUUUUGUUUGUCAAAAGUUUUUUUUUUUCUUUUUAGCUCACCUGACCUAAGAAAGAGGCCAUCUGAGCUUUUGCCAUCCCUUGGCAUUAAUUGUUGAAUCAUCCAUUGUCUAGUGUACACUUUUUCAUAGAUCUUCUCUUAUGAAACUACUGAAUUAAUUCAUUUUAACCAAACUUAGGCUGAAUGGGUAUAUAUUUUGUAAUAAUUAGCUCACAGGGAUCCUUCAAGGGCCCCAUGUGAGCUUAUGCCAUCACUUGGAAUCUGUCUUCGUAAACUAUUUAAAAAAUCUUCUCCUCUGAAACUACUUUAAACUUCAAACUUUAACUAAAUAUUCCUUAGGGUGUCAAGUUUAUAAAUUGUAUCCGAAGUUUUGAUCCAUCAACAAACAUGGCUACCAUGGCUAAAAAUAGAACAUAGGGGUCAAAUGCAGUUUUUGGCUUAUAUCUCAAAAACUGAAGCUUUUAGAGCAAAUCUGACAUUAGGUAAAAUUGUUCAAUUGGUCAAGGUCUAUCAGCCCUGAAAUUUUCAGACGAAUCAAACAUUCCAUUGUUGGGUUGCUGCCACUGAAAUUGGUAGUUAUAACAAAAUUUUGCAGUUUUUUGUUAUUAUCUUGAAUAUUAUUAUAGAUAGAUGUAAACUGUAUAAGCAGCAAUAAUGAUCUACAAAAAAGUUGAUAUGACCAAAAAAGUCAAUUGACUCCUUAAGGAGUUAAUGCCCUUUAAAGUUAAAUGUUAGAAGGAACUUUUUAGUUCAUACUGUACUAAUUAUUUUAUAGCUGUUUAACUAAUUCAUCAAUGUUUCUAUUUCUUUUGAAUCCUAUUGAUAGGUUUUUAUUGAUUUUGUCACCAAUUGUAGAAUCUGUUUUGAUAAGAUUCCGGUAUUUCCUGAAUAAUGUUUGAAAUUUUCUGCUGAAGAAUUCGAAUUAUUAUUCGUACCGAUUGAUAUAUUGUAUCUAUUUUCAACUUUGUUCUUUUUCUAGACAUAAAUUCAUAGAAAUUGAUCCAAUAUCCACCUAUUUAAAUAAGGUGAAAAUCAUAACUCUGUCCUGAUUUCAUAGACAGAAUUUCAUAGAAAUAAAUAUCCAUUAGUGCAAAUCACAAUUUAAAAUAAAUGUGCCUUUAAGCAGUUCAUGUGUAAAAAAAAAUGCUUAGGAUGUUACUGUGGAUUUAUUUUCAUGGGUAUCAAUUAAAGAUUAAAGAAAUUUUUGUAUAUUUCGCCGAUAUUUGUUUUUUUUGGUUUUGUCAAAGUAUUUUUACAACCCGAUGGCAAAUUUUUAAUUCGUUUAACAUUUAACGUUUAAAUUUGUGGUUCAGCUGUUUCCACCAAAACGCCAAAACUGGUAUCCCAUGAACAUGAUGAACAUGAUGAAUAAUAAUGAAUCCACAGUAAAUAUUUUCAGCAUGAAUGAUGAAGUUUUAAUGCCAUUCUGUUCUUAUUUUAGAUUGACAUAUCCAUAGGACAUGCAGUUACCCUAGACCAUGUAGACAAACAGGAAGAGAAAGGUCUCUGAUUCAGUUCUCUGUGAAGUUCAAGGUCUUUCUUAGUCUAAAUAUGGGAAGAUGUGAAAGGUAAGUUUGAAAGUUUGCAAGUGUGCAAAAAUAUGUUAUUUCUAACAAAAUGUGCUGUUUCACAAAUAAAAUACUCUGUGUCUUAGACACUUAUGUAGCAAUUGCAAUAAGGCCACUAUAUUGGUGUAUGAAAUGAUUGUAAGCUGUAUUUGCCUGACCGGUUAAACUCACCCAUGCCUUCAUUUUCAUGCAUGGAUCAUUUAUGGAUCAAGUUUAUCUGAUAAUUGAAAAUAGCGUCAAAUUUUCAGACAAGUAAAGCUGGCUUAAAUAUUAGUUUCUGUCAUUUGGGCUCUUGCUGAGAGUUGUCUCAUUGGCAAUUAUACCACAUCUUCUUUUUUAAUUGACAUUUAAAUGUUGCAUUUUAUAUAUAUAUAUAUACAUAUUACAAUCACACAAUAGCUGGCCAAUUGUUAAUAAGCAUCCAUGUUCACAAAUAACUUCAUUUGUGCAAUUAAGGGACAUGCUAAGGAAGACCUUUUUUUAUGCCCCUGCAGUAGUUUUACCCUUGACCGUCUGUAUGUAUGUACGUCCUUCCAUACCUCCCAAAGUUUGUUACCGUUUUCCUAACUUCAGUUUGCCUCAACCAAAUGUUAUGAAACUGAUACACAAUGCUUAUUACCACAAAACACAGAUCAAGUUUGAAUUUUGGUUGCAUCAUGUACUUUAACCGUUCAAGAGUUAUGCCUCUUUACAAAAAAAAUUGCUGAAUUUUUCUAUUUGUUUUCUAACUUUAGUUUGCCUCUGAACCAAAUGCUAUGAAACUAAUACACAGCAAUGCUUAUUUCCACAAAAUACAGAUCAAGUAUGAAUUAAGGGACAGGGUCACUUACCUGUUGUUCAGUUAUGCCCCUUAACAAAUGAAAAAUUAUGCUUAUAUUUGUAGUUUCCAUUCUCUAACAUUGGUUUGCCUCAACUAAAUGCAAUGAAACUUAUACACAAUGCUUGUUACCACAAAAUACAGAUCAAGUUUGAAUUUUAUGGGGGUCACUUUAACUUUUCUAGAAUUAUGCCUCUUCACAAAUUGAAUGAUUGCUGAAAUUUUCAUUUCCAUUCAUUAACUUUAGCUUGCCUCAACCAAAUGCUAUGAUAUUUUAAACAAUACUUAUUACCACAAAAUACAAAUCAAGUUUGAAUUUUGAGGUUGUCACUAAAUUUUCUAGAGUUAUGCCCCUUUGAAAAUGGAAAAAAUUGCUGAAUUUUUGUUUCCAAUCUCUAAAUUAAGUUUGCAUAAACCAAGUUUUAUGGAACUUAUACACAAUACCUAUUACCACUAAAUCAGAUCAAGUGUUUUUGGUAGAGUCACUUUUACUGUUCUUCAGUUAUGUCCUUUUAUAACUUUAUAUGAUAUAUGCAAGCGGGGGCAUCAACUGUGAUCCAUUGAUACAUUCCCCAUUUAAUUUUUUGUUUAACAUCGAUUUUUUUUGGGGUGUCCAAGCCGAUAAAUUAGAGUUGAAAGGGCAAUCAAAACGCAUCUUUUUUGUUGUUAGCCCUAUUGAAAACUAUUGUACAGCAUUUUGUACAGAGAGGGAAACUUUGUAUAGUAAAAAUGAUCAACACCAUAAGAUCUACUAAUAAGUCACAUCAUUUUCUUUGUAGGAUACAUAGAAAUCUUGAAGGACAAAUUGGUGCGAGUCUUAAAAGGCACAGAUUUGAAGAUAAACAAGAG